Molecule: long non-coding RNA, 415 nt
Filed under: Medicago truncatula (barrel medic)
Lineage: Eukaryota; Viridiplantae; Streptophyta; Magnoliopsida; Fabales; Fabaceae
Description: long non-coding RNA (MTRU_LNC006223)
Source: RNAcentral
UUUGAUAUUCGAACAAGUGAAUUCAGACAAGGAUUGCAAAGUCAGCGAAAUAGGCUUUGCAAUCUUUGAGACAUAUAGUUUCGAUCUUCAAGGGAACUAAUAACAAUCAAGUCAGCAAAAUAGGCUUGGUUGUUAGAGAAACCAAAAUCCAAUAGUAAUCAAGUCAGCGAAAUAGGCUUGGUUGCUAGAGGAACUUAAGAGAAACUGUCUUGAGAAAUUAGGUCUAACAUAACAUUAUAAGCUUAUGGUUUCGGUUUGAGAAGGACUUGUUAUUUAGAUGAAACCAACGAUCCCAAGGCUCUUUUAUUAUAUUGCUUUCAACCGUUUAAAAACCCCCAAUCUACAAUCUCUUCUCUCUUCUAAUCAUCUCUAAAGGUUAAUUAAAUUGAACUACUCCCUGUCGGAACGAUACUCU